CCUACGGGGUGCAGCAGUGAGGAAUAUUGGUCAAUGGGCGAGAGCCUGAACCAGCCAAGUCGCGUGAGGGAGUACUGCCCUAUGGGUUGUAAACCUCUUUUGUCGGGGAGCAAAAGCCGGACGUGUCCGGCUGUGAGAGUACCCGAAGAAAAAGCAUCGGCUAACUCCGUGCGAGCAGCCGCGGUAAUACGGAGGGUGUGAGCGUUAUCCGGAUUUACUGGGGGUAACGGGAGCGUAGGCGGUGUAGCAAGUCAGAAGUGAAAGCCCGGGGCUCAACUCCGGGACUGCGUUUGAAACUGUUGAACUAGAGUGCAGGAGAGGUAAGUGGAAUUCCUAGUGUAGCGGUGAAAUGCGUAGAUAUUAGGAGGAACCCCGGUGGCGAAGGCGGCUUACUGGACUGUAAAUGACGCUGAGGCUCGAAAGCGUGGGGAGCAAACAGGAUUAGAUACCCCAGUAGUC
RNAcentral lists this ribosomal RNA (459 nucleotides) under uncultured bacterium. RNAcentral describes it as "partial 16S ribosomal RNA". It matches the Rfam family "Bacterial small subunit ribosomal RNA", at positions 338 to 795 of the family's 1533-position model. The record is from RNAcentral.